This 73-nucleotide transfer RNA is filed under the name Stegodyphus mimosarum. It matches the Rfam family "tRNA". From Rfam's summary of the family: Transfer RNA (tRNA) molecules are approximately 80 nucleotides in length. Their secondary structure includes four short double-helical elements and three loops (D, anti-codon, and T loops). The record is from Rfam by way of RNAcentral. Lineage: Eukaryota; Metazoa; Arthropoda; Arachnida; Araneae; Eresidae.
ACCUUCGUGGUGUAGUGGUCAGCAUGCUCGACGCGUAACCGAGAGGUCCGUGGUUCGAUUCCCGGCGAAGGCG